RNAcentral lists this non-coding RNA (79 nucleotides) under Billgrantia desiderata. RNAcentral describes it as "Halomonas desiderata c-di-GMP sequence". It matches the Rfam family "c-di-GMP-I riboswitch aptamer". Rfam says of the family: GEMM was predicted in a large-scale screen for bacterial structured RNA regulatory elements. Lineage: Bacteria; Pseudomonadati; Pseudomonadota; Gammaproteobacteria; Oceanospirillales; Halomonadaceae. The record is from RNAcentral.
CAUCAGUACCGCCAAACCUGUAGCGAUGCAGGGACGGAAAGCCACGGGUCUCAUCUCCUGAGACAGCCGGGCCGCCUGA